GACGCUGGCGGUAGGCUUAACACAUGCAAGUCGUGCGAGAAAGUAUCUUCGGAUAUGAGUAGAGCGGCGGACGGGUGAGUAACGCGUAGGAAUCUACCUAGUAGAAGGGGAUAGCCCGGGGAAACUCGGAUUAAUACCGUAUACCUCCUUCGGGAGAAAGAAGGCCUCUCUUUGAAGCUUUCGCUAUUAGAUGAGCCUGCGUAAGAUUAGCUUGUUGGUGAGGUAAAGGCUCACCAAGGCGACGAUCUUUAGCGGGUCUGAGAGGACGAUCCGCCACAUUGGGACUGAGACACGGCCCAGACUCCUACGGGAGGCAGCAGUGGGGAAUAUUGGACAAUGGGCGCAAGCCUGAUCCAGCCAUACCGCGUGUGUGAAGAAGGCCCUAGGGUUGUAAAGCACUUUAAGUUGGGAAGAAAAGUUAUUGGCUAAUAUCCAAUAACUGUGACAUUACCAUCAGAAUAAGGACCGGCUAAUUCCGUGCCAGCAGCCGCGGUAAUACGGAAGGUCCAAGCGUUAAUCGGAAUUACUGGGCGUAAAGCGCGCGUAGGUGGUUUAUUAAGUUGGAUGUGAAAUCCCCGGGCUCAACCUGGGAACUGCAUCCAAAACUGAUUCACUAGAGUACGAUAGAGGGAGGUAGAAUUCACAGUGUAGCGGUGGAAUGCGUAGAUAUUGUGAAGAAUACCAAUGGCGAAGGCAGCCUCCUGGAUCUGUACUGACACUGAGGUGCGAAAGCGUGGGUAGCGAACAGGAUUAGAUACCCUGGUAGUCCACGCCGUAAACGAUGUCAACUAGCUGUUGGAGAACUAUGUUCUUCAGUGGCGCAGCUAACGUAGUAAGUUGACCGCCUGGGGAGUACGGCCG
This 861-nucleotide ribosomal RNA is filed under the name uncultured Gammaproteobacteria bacterium. RNAcentral describes it as "bacterial SSU rRNA". It matches the Rfam family "Bacterial small subunit ribosomal RNA", at positions 32 to 888 of the family's 1533-position model. Lineage: Bacteria; Pseudomonadati; Pseudomonadota; Gammaproteobacteria. The record is from RNAcentral.